Molecule: non-coding RNA, 713 nt
Organism: Heterocephalus glaber (naked mole-rat)
Lineage: Eukaryota; Metazoa; Chordata; Mammalia; Rodentia; Bathyergidae
Source: RefSeq, a predicted model, not a curated record
GUUAUCACUCGCUAAAACUUUCAAACAAUGUGGACAGGAUGAUUUGAUCAUGGAAAACAAUGCAUUCAAAAGGAAAGUGGGGAGAAAGGGAAGGAUUUCUGCCUUUGGCCUGUGGGUCAGGACCCAGAGCACCAACCACAGACUAUUAAACACCCUGUUUACCUUCCUCUGCCCAAGAAGAGCACAUCUCUGGAAUGGACCAGGCAAAGCAGAAUCAGCAAGCCGGGAGGGAGCAACACGGGCUGGCGUAGGCGACACCGUCAGCAGAGUAGAAGGGAAAUGUCAAGAUCACUAAGUGUUGAAGCAUUUUGACCUGUGUUAUGUUGAAGAAAGUCUCCACAUGUUUCUCAUAAAAAUAUACAUCAGAGAUGGCUUCAGACCGAACGUCAAACUUAGUUAAAGCUGACAAGGAUCCUGAUAUUUAAGCUACAAGGAUAAAAAAGGAAAAGAGGAGGAGACAGGGAAAGCAACAUAGAAGAGGAGGAACUUUUGGUUGAUAGAUGCAUCUGGUGGCAAGUAGUUGCUGGGUCAUUGCUCUCUUGUCUACUUCUCUACUGUGACAGUGAAUUCCGUGGGAGUUAGCUCUAUGCAUUGGUAAAGGCAUCCCAAGAAAUACACCAUUACUGUCGACUCCUUAUUGCUGGUGUUUGUCCAAAGAUCAAUAUACCCUUCAUUGUGAAAUGUUCUUUUCAAUUCUUAUAAGCCAAUCUUUC